RNAcentral lists this ribosomal RNA (119 nucleotides) under Phascolarctos cinereus (koala). Lineage: Eukaryota; Metazoa; Chordata; Mammalia; Diprotodontia; Phascolarctidae. The record is from RNAcentral.
GCCAUCAGCCAUACUGCUGUGAAUGAGCCCAAUGUCAUCUGAACCCAGGAGCUAAGCAGGGGUGGGCAAGCUUAGUACUUAGAUGGGACCUCACCUGGGAAUACCAGAUGCUGUGGACA